GCCGGGCGUGGUGACGCGCACCUGUAAUCCCAGCUACUUGGGAAGCUGAGACAUGAGAAUCACUCGAACCCAGGAGGCACAGGCUACAGUGAGCCGAGAUGGCACCACUGCACUCCAGCCUGGGUGACAGAGUGAGACCCUGUCUCAA
Molecule: non-coding RNA, 148 nt
Filed under: Pan troglodytes (chimpanzee)
Lineage: Eukaryota; Metazoa; Chordata; Mammalia; Primates; Hominidae
Source: Rfam by way of RNAcentral